GAACGCACCUUGCGCCCUUUGGCUAUUCUGAAGGGCAUGCCUGUUUGAGUAUCAUGAACACCUCAACUCUCAUGGUUCGCCAUGAUGAGCUUGGACUUUGGGGGUCUUGCUGGCCUACGGUCGGCUCCUCUCAAAUGAAUCAGCUUGCCAGUGUUUGGUGGCAUCACGGGUGUGAUAACUAUCUACGCUUGUGGUUUCCCGCCAGGUAACCUUCAGUGAUGGAGGUUCGCUGGGGCUCAUAAAUGUCCCUCCACAGUGAGGACAGCUUUUGAACGUUUGAUCUCAAAUCAGGUAGGACUACCCGCUGAACUUA
Molecule: unclassified non-coding RNA, 313 nt
Filed under: uncultured Thelephoraceae
Lineage: Eukaryota; Fungi; Basidiomycota; Agaricomycetes; Thelephorales; Thelephoraceae
Description: sequence contains 5.8S rRNA gene
Source: RNAcentral